Molecule: ribosomal RNA, 504 nt
Filed under: uncultured bacterium
Lineage: Bacteria
Description: partial 16S ribosomal RNA
Rfam family: Bacterial small subunit ribosomal RNA
Source: RNAcentral
AUUGAACGCUGGCGGCAGGCCUAACACAUGCAAGUCGAACGGUAGCACAGAGAGCUUGCUCUCGGGUGACGAGUGGCGGACGGGUGAGUAAUGUCUGGGAAACUGCCCGAUGGAGGGGGAUAACUACUGGAAACGGUAGCUAAUACCGCAUAACGUCGCAAGACCAAAGUGGUGGACCUUCGGGCCUCACACCAUCGGAUGUGCCCAGAUGGGAUUAGCUAGUAGGUGGGGUAGUGGCUCACCUAGGCGACGAUCCCUAGCUGGUCUGAGAGGAUGACCAGCCACACUGGAACGGAGACACGGUCCAGACUCCUACGGGAGGCAGCAGUGGGGAAUAUUGCACAAUGGGCGCAAGCCUGAUGCAGCCAUGCCGCGUGUAUGAAGAAGGCCUUCGGGUUGUAAAGUACUUUCAGCGGGGAGGAAGGCGGUGAAGUUAAUAGCUUCACCGAUUGACGUUACCCGCAGAAGAAGCACCGGCUAACUCCGUGCCAGCAGCCGCAGUAA